GAUGAACGCUGGCGGCGUGCCUAAUACAUGCAAGUCGAGCGAACAGACGAGGAGCUUGCUCCUCUGACGUUAGCGGCGGACGGGUGAGUAACACGUGGAUAACCUACCUAUAAGACUGGGAUAACUUCGGGAAACCGGAGCUAAUACCGGAUAAUAUAUUGAACCGCAUGGUUCAAUAGUGAAAGACGGUUUUGCUGUCACUUAUAGAUGGAUCCGCGCCGCAUUAGCUAGUUGGUAAGGUAACGGCUUACCAAGGCAACGAUGCGUAGCCGACCUGAGAGGGUGAUCGGCCAAACUGGAACUGAGACACGGUCCAGACUCCUACGGGAGGCAGCAGUAGGGAAUCUUCCGCAAUGGGCGAAAGCUUGACGGAGCAACGCCGCGUGAGUGAUGAAGGUCUUCGGAUCGUAAAACUCUGUUAUUAGGGAAGAACAAAUGUGUAAGUAACUAUGCACGUCUUGACGGUACCUAAUCAGAAAGCCACGGCUAACUACGUG
Molecule: ribosomal RNA, 497 nt
Filed under: uncultured bacterium
Lineage: Bacteria
Description: partial 16S ribosomal RNA
Rfam family: Bacterial small subunit ribosomal RNA
Source: RNAcentral